This 509-nucleotide small RNA is filed under the name Pongo abelii (Sumatran orangutan). Its description in RNAcentral is "processed transcript". The record is from RNAcentral. Lineage: Eukaryota; Metazoa; Chordata; Mammalia; Primates; Hominidae.
GAGCUGCUUGUUCCGACUGAGGCUUUGAGAUGCAAGAGAAAAUAUUCCAAGUAUCCAGAACCAAUUUCAGGACACCUCUCACUCCAAGGGGAGAGAGAAGAGAGUGAGAGUGGACUAGGGAAGUGAAUCUGUGAUAAGAAUUUCCCUGAAGGGAAAGCAGGGACUCGAACAGAUACUUGAAUAUCCACGUUCAUGGCAGCAUUAUUCACAAUAGUCAAAAAAUGGAAGCAACCUAAGUGAUCACUGACGUCUGCAUGCAUAAACAAAAUGUGGAAUGUACACACAGUGGAAUAUUACUCAGCCUUAAAAAAGAAAGGAAAUUCUACGCGUGCUGCAUCGUGGAUGAACCUUGGACAGAUUAUGCUGCUAAAGAAGCCACUCACAAAGGUUAGAAGAGUGAGACUCAAAGAUGUGAGCUGACUUUUCCAAGAUUAUUUGGGAGUUGGUGGCAGACCUAUGCCCGUUAGCCUGGCAAAUUGCCACAGUGGUCUAGAGAAGCAAGUUUUGCA